GACGAACGCUGGCGGCGUGCUUAACACAUGCAAGUCGAACGGAAAGGCCCUGCUUUUGUGGGGUGCUCGAGUGGCGAACGGGUGAGUAACACGUGAGUAACCUGCCCUUGACUUUGGGAUAACUUCAGGAAACUGGGGCUAAUACCGGAUAGGAGCUCCUGCUGCAUGGUGGGGGUUGGAAAGUUUCGGCGGUUGGGGAUGGACUCGCGGCUUAUCAGCUUGUUGGUGGGGUAGUGGCUUACCAAGGCUUUGACGGGUAGCCGGCCUGAGAGGGUGACCGGCGACAUUGGGACUAAGAGACGGCCCAGACUCCUACGGGAGGCAGCAGUGGGGAAUAUUGCACAAUGGGCGGAAGCCUGAUGCAGCAACGCCGCGUGCGGGAUGACGGCCAUCGGGUUGUAAACCGCUUUCGCCUGUGACGAAGCGUGAGUGACGGUAAUGGGUAAAGAAGCACCGGCUAACUACGUG
This 468-nucleotide ribosomal RNA is filed under the name uncultured bacterium. RNAcentral's name for it is "partial 16S ribosomal RNA". It matches the Rfam family "Bacterial small subunit ribosomal RNA", at positions 28 to 507 of the family's 1533-position model. The record is from RNAcentral.